UUUAAUUCUGGAAAAAGGGCAUAGCAGAAUACCAGUAUACUAUGAGCAACCUACAAACAUUAUUGGGGUUAUUCUGGUACUUUACGGACCUUAUAUUUCCGCAUUUCUGGUGGAUAUUGCUGAUUCCUACAUGUCUUAUUUUUGGAUAUCAAUUGGAUUUACUAUACUUUUGUGUGUAAUGAUGUCAUCCAACACUGCAGAACUAGUAGGAUUUAGAACUGUAGUUAUAAAAGCUGGUAUAGGUGGGAAGAAUGAACUAGGGAAUUUAUUGUUUCCAAAGAGGAGAAUGUUCUCAGAAUAAUCCAGUAAUUUAUUGUUUUUCUCUUCGUGGAGGGGAGGGGCUUGAGGUUUGGAUAUGAUGUUAUUGAUUAUAGCCUCCUCUAGGCUAGUGUUACCUGAUACAAGGAAGUUGAUUUGAUAAGAGGGUAGUUCUUCUAGCUUUUUCUGCACAAAGAUACCUGAGUGAUGUAUAAAAUGAAACAAGAUCAACUAGGACUGUAGCUUUCAGAAUACCAGUAUACUAUGAGCAACCUACAAACAUUAUUGGGGUUAUUCUGGUACUUUACGGACCUUAUAUUUCCGCAUUUCUGGUGGAUAUUGCUGAUUCCUACAUGUCUUAUUUUUGGAUAUCAAUUGGAUUUACUAUACUUUUGUGUGUAAUGAUGUCAUCCAACACUGCAGAACUAGUAGGAUUUAGAACUGUAGUUAUAAAAGUUGGUAUAGGUGGGAAGAAUGAACUAGGGAAUUUAUUGUUUCCAAAGAGGAGAAUGUUCUCAGAAUAAUCCAGUAAUU
This 792-nucleotide long non-coding RNA is filed under the name Coffea arabica (coffee). RNAcentral describes it as "long non-coding RNA (CARA_LNC001646)". Lineage: Eukaryota; Viridiplantae; Streptophyta; Magnoliopsida; Gentianales; Rubiaceae. The record is from RNAcentral.